GACUUUAUAUUAAAUGGAUUUUUGGAACUGGGAGAUGGACUCGGCGCUUGCUCCAUCCACUCCACGCAUUGGCCUGGUAUUGAAGUGCCUCCAGGAGCGGUCCUCCAGGA
This 110-nucleotide small nuclear RNA is filed under the name Alligator mississippiensis (American alligator). Its description in RNAcentral is "U2 spliceosomal RNA". It matches the Rfam family "U2 spliceosomal RNA", at positions 82 to 192 of the family's 192-position model. From Rfam's summary of the family: U2 is a small nuclear RNA (snRNA) component of the spliceosome (involved in pre-mRNA splicing). Complementary binding between U2 snRNA (in an area lying towards the 5' end but 3' to hairpin I) and the branchpoint sequence (BPS) of the intron results the bulging out of an unpaired adenosine, on the BPS, which initiates a nucleophilic attack at the intronic 5' splice site, thus starting the first of two transesterification reactions that mediate splicing. Lineage: Eukaryota; Metazoa; Chordata; Crocodylia; Alligatoridae. The record is from Rfam by way of RNAcentral.